UAGCCUUUGGGAUGAAUCAGUCCCUUGUAUCUAUUCUCCCUUGCGCUUCACCAUGUCAGCCAUCUUUACUUCUGGUUUUUGCUGACAAAUUUUUAGGGGAUAUAU
Non-coding RNA from Elaeis guineensis (African oil palm), 105 nucleotides. The record is from RefSeq and is a predicted model, not a curated record. Lineage: Eukaryota; Viridiplantae; Streptophyta; Magnoliopsida; Arecales; Arecaceae.